This 508-nucleotide ribosomal RNA is filed under the name uncultured bacterium. RNAcentral describes it as "partial 16S ribosomal RNA". It matches the Rfam family "Bacterial small subunit ribosomal RNA", at positions 28 to 523 of the family's 1533-position model. The record is from RNAcentral.
GAUGAACGCUAGCUACAGGCUUAACACAUGCAAGUCGAGGGGAAACGAUAGAGAAAGCUUGCUUUUUCUAGGCGUCGACCGGCGCACGGGUGAGUAACGCGUAUCCAACCUGCCCAUCACUUGGGGAUAACCUUGUGAAAGUAAGACUAAUACCCAAUGACGUCUCUAGAAGACAUCUGAAAGAGAUUAAAGAUUUAUCGGUGAUGGAUGGGGAUGCGUCGGAUUAGCUUGUUGGCGGGGUAACGGCCCACCAAGGCGACGAUCAGUAGGGGUUCUGAGAGGAAGGUCCCCCACAUUGGAACUGAGACACGGUCCAAACUCCUACGGGAGGCAGCAGUGAGGAAUAUUGGUCAAUGGGCGAGAGCCUGAACCAGCCAAGUAGCGUGCAGGAUGACGGCCCUAUGGGUUGUAAACUGCUUUUAUAAGGGAAUAAAGUGAGUCUCGUGAGACUUUUUGCAUGUACCUUAUGAAUAAGGACCGGCUAAUUCCGUGCCAGCCGCCGCAGUAA